RNAcentral lists this long non-coding RNA (614 nucleotides) under Panax ginseng (ginseng). RNAcentral's name for it is "long non-coding RNA (PGIN_LNC004254)". Lineage: Eukaryota; Viridiplantae; Streptophyta; Magnoliopsida; Apiales; Araliaceae. The record is from RNAcentral.
UUAUAUAGCAUAGAUUUCAAAGUGCAGCAAAUAGCUACUACAACAGCGAAAGGGAACCAGUUAUGAGUUUAUUUUCUUAUGUAACACAUUACCCUAGAUGUUUGGCUAACUUAUUCCUUAAAGACAUGUGUGCAACCUAUAUAGUAUUGAAACUAAGCCCAAAUAAUGUGAAAGUGGGGAAGUCAACUACCCAAAGUAAGAACUGUUGCUCAUGGGCAACACUGACAACUAGCAACAGAUGUUACUAGCUUUGGCAGUUGGAAGGCAUGAUAUAGGAAGUCUAGCAUCCUUGGAGUUAGACUGAUAAAGACUAGGGGUAAAGAGAAGGGGGCUGCUACCUUUAGGCAGCCACAGUUAACAUUCUAUGUAAAUAGGAAUUAUAUUAGCUAUUAUGUUUCCAAAGAGUAGCAUAAUAGAGUGUAUUAUCGGAGUUUAGAAGCUAGCAAGGUAAGCCCAGUUAAACUUUUUGCAUUUCCUCUUCCAUUUCAUUUUUAUAGCAUGAUAAACUGUUAGUGGCUGGGUGGAGUUGGCUAUAACUGUUACAUAGAAUGGGUUGUGUUAGUAUUGCUAUUGUUGUGGCUGUGAUUUGUAUUGUUAAUAAAGUUUAAGGUAAG